RNAcentral lists this ribosomal RNA (1494 nucleotides) under Triticum aestivum (bread wheat). RNAcentral describes it as "partial small subunit ribosomal RNA". Lineage: Eukaryota; Viridiplantae; Streptophyta; Magnoliopsida; Poales; Poaceae. The record is from RNAcentral.
AUGGCGAGGGCGGCGCCCAUCCUCGCCGUGUCCAAGCCGUCUCCUCUCCCUCUAAUCGCCCCGUCGUCACGCCCCCGGGCUGGGUCCCUUCACCUGCAUCGCCGCCGCCUCCUCCCACUCUCGCCGUCGUCGUCAUGCAGCACCAGCACCAGCGCCUCUUCCUCCUCCUCCUCGCCGGUCUUGCUGCGGGAUGACGAGCUGGACCACCAGGAGGAGCCCCCGCCCGCUUCGGAGGCCGACUCGCGGCCCCGCCGCAUCGCGCUCUUCGUCGAGCCCUCCCCCUUCGCCUACGUCUCCGGCUACAAGAACCGCUUCCAGAACUUCAUCAAGUACCUCCGCGAGAUGGGCGACGAGGUCAUCGUCAUCACCACCCACGAGGGCGUGCCCGACGAGUUCCACGGCGCCAAGCUCAUCGGAUCCUGGAGCUUCCCUUGCCCCUGGUAUCAGAAGGUCCCGCUCUCGCUCGCCCUCAGCCCCAGAAUCAUUGGAGAAGUCGCUAGGUUCAAGCCCGACAUUAUCCACGCCUCUUCCCCUGGAAUCAUGGUAUUCGGCGCCCUAAUCAUCGCAAAGUUGCUAUGCGUCCCUCUAGUGAUGUCCUACCACACCCAUGUUCCAAUUUAUAUUCCAAGGUAUACAUUCAGCUGGCUUGUCAAGCCCAUGUGGCUAGUUAUAAAAUUCUUGCACCGAGCUGCGGAUCUCACACUGGUACCAUCAGUCGCUAUUGGCAGGGACCUUCAAGCUGCCCGUGUUACAGCAGCCAAUAAGAUACGCCUUUGGAACAAGGGCGUGGAUUCAGAAAGCUUCCAUCCUCGUUUCCGUAGUCAGGAAAUGCGGUCAAGGCUAACGAAUGGUGAACCAGACAAGCCACUGAUAAUCUAUGUUGGACGCUUAGGAGUUGAGAAAAGCUUGGAUUUUCAUAAGCGAGUCAUGGAUCGACUUCCAGGAUCAAGAAUUGCAUUCAUUGGAGAUGGCCCAUUCAGGCCUGAACUUGAAGAGAUGUUUUCAGGAAUGCCUGCAGUGUUCACAGGGACAUUGCAAGGGGAAGAACUGUCACAGGCCUAUGCCAGUGGAGAUGUGUUUGUGAUGCCUUCUGAGUCAGAGACGCUGGGUUUUGUUGUGUUGGAGGCAAUGUCAUCCGGGGUGCCGGUGGUCGCUGCUCGAGCUGGAGGCAUACCUGACAUUAUACCUGAGGAUCAGGAAGGAAAGACCAGCUUUCUGUACAUACCGGGUGAUGUGGAUGACUGUGUUGGGAAGGUUGAACUCCUGCUCUCCUGUGAAGAGUUGAGAGAGACAAUGGGGAAGGCCGCCAGGAAGGAGAUGGAGAAAUUCGGCUGGAAGGCGGCGACGAGAAAGAUUCGGAACGAGCAGUACACCGCCGCAAUUUGGUUCUGGCGCAAGAAGAGAUCGCAGCUGCUGAGACCUCUCCAGUGGGUGUUCCGGAGGCUCUUCAGGCCCGCUCCUGCUCCUGCCCCCGCCAUAACAAAUCAGUCAUAG